UCAUCAAGGCGGGAGCAUGGCAGCC
Molecule: non-coding RNA, 25 nt
Filed under: Mus musculus (house mouse)
Lineage: Eukaryota; Metazoa; Chordata; Mammalia; Rodentia; Muridae
Source: RNAcentral